This 332-nucleotide unclassified non-coding RNA is filed under the name soil metagenome. Its description in RNAcentral is "partial contains 5.8S ribosomal RNA, internal transcribed spacer 2, and large subunit ribosomal RNA". The stretch from base 1 to 120 matches the Rfam family "5.8S ribosomal RNA", at positions 35 to 154 of the family's 154-position model. The record is from RNAcentral.
GAUGAAGAACGCAGUGAAAUGCGAUAAGUAGUGUGAAUUGCAGAAUUCAGUGAAUCAUCGAAUCUUUGAACGCACAUUGCGCCCUUUGGUAUUCCUUAGGGCAUGCCUGUUCGAGCGUCAUUUAAACCUUCAAGCUAAGCUUGGUGUUGGGUGACUGUCCGCUUCACGGCGGACUCGCCUCAAAAUUAUUGGCGGCCGGUACAUUGGCUUCGAGCGCAGCAGAAACGCGAACUCGGGCCCGUCGUAUUGGCUCCCAGAAGCUAUCUUCACAAUUUUGAUCUCGGAUCAGGUAGGGAUACCCGCUGAACUUAAGCAUAUCAAUAAGCGGAGGA